UGGGGAAUAUUGGACAAUGGGCGGAAGCCUGAUCCAGCAACGCCGCGUGAGGGAUGACGGCCUUCGGGUUGUAAACCUCUUUCAGUACCGACGAAGCGAAAGUGACGGUAGGUACAGAAGAAGGACCGGCCAACUACGUGCCAGCAGCCGCGGUAAUACGUAGGGUCCGAGCGUUGUCCGGAAUUAUUGGGCGUAAAGGGCUCGUAGGCGGUUUGUCGCGUCGGGAGUGAAAACAGCGGGCUUAACUCGUUGCUUGCUUUCGAUACGGGCAGACUAGAGGUAUGCAGGGGAGAAUGGAAUUCCUGGUGUAGCGGUGAAAUGCGCAGAUAUCAGGAGGAACACCGGUGGCGAAGGCGGUUCUCUGGGCAUUACCUGACGCUGAGGAGCGAAAGUGUGGGGAGCGAACAGGAUUAGAUACCCUGGUAGUCCACACCGUAAACGUUGGGGCGCUAGGUGUGGGGUCCUUUCCACGGAUUCCGUGCCGUAGCUAACGCAUUAAGCGCCCCGCCU
This 510-nucleotide ribosomal RNA is filed under the name uncultured bacterium. RNAcentral describes it as "partial 16S ribosomal RNA". It matches the Rfam family "Bacterial small subunit ribosomal RNA", at positions 355 to 874 of the family's 1533-position model. The record is from RNAcentral.